AGCUCCUCGGGGCCAGAGCCC
Molecule: microRNA, 21 nt
Filed under: Pteropus alecto (black flying fox)
Lineage: Eukaryota; Metazoa; Chordata; Mammalia; Chiroptera; Pteropodidae
Description: pal-miR-339a-3p
Gene: pal-miR-339a-3p
Source: miRBase by way of RNAcentral